AUCAAAUUAUACUAUUUCGAAAUAAAUUUUCUUAAUAAAAAAUAUCACUUAUAUGCUACUAUAGUAGUACUAUUAAAUAACAACUAAUUAUUAUUUUAAAAAAGUCAUUUACUUAAUACCUACUCAACCAAAAACAUUUAUUGUUACCAUAGAAAGAUUUAAAUAAAAGUCGAAAAUUAUUCAUGUACUUAAAUAAAACUAAUUUGACGACAUUAAGCAUAGAUUUCAUCAUUUCUGACGAUAAUUAGUAAAGGCAACGUGUGGCUUGCGUAAUUUUGUAUAAAAAGACAAAUCUGGCAUAAAUUUCGUUCUUUCCAAAGAACAUAAAUUACGAUUUUGAGUAAAAAAGAAAAAUCUUUCCGAUUUUGUAUAAAUCGAACUUUCCUUAAUCAGAGCAUUUUACUACAAAGUCGUAUUUUAUAUGGAUAAACUUAAAACUUCUUUAAUGGCAGAUAAUGUUCCUCUCUUUCAUCGAAAAAGUUUGACCUAAACAACGAAGACGUACCAGGAAGGUUACAGUCUCUGAAGA
This is a long non-coding RNA of Arabidopsis thaliana (thale cress), 529 nucleotides long. RefSeq annotates it as other RNA. Lineage: Eukaryota; Viridiplantae; Streptophyta; Magnoliopsida; Brassicales; Brassicaceae. The record is from RefSeq. The transcript has a single exon.